GUGCUCGCUUUGGCAGCACACAUACUAAAAUUGGGAUGAUCAGAGAAGAUUAGUGUGGCCCCUGCGCCAGGAUACGCAAAUUCGUGAAGCGUUCUGUAUUUUA
Loxodonta africana (African savanna elephant) is the source of this 103-nucleotide small nuclear RNA. The record is from Ensembl. Lineage: Eukaryota; Metazoa; Chordata; Mammalia; Proboscidea; Elephantidae.